CACUAGUGAUUCUCCUGGAAACGGGUGGUAAUGCCGGAUGCUCCAGUCCAUCGCAUGGUGGUCUGGGAAAGAUUUCAUCGGUAUGGGAUGGGGUCGCGUCCUAUCAGGUAGUCGGCGGGGUAACGGCCCACCGAGCCUACGACGGGUAGCCGGCCUGAGAGGGCGACCGGCCACAUUGGGACUGAGAUACGGCCCAGACUCCUACGGGAGGCAGCAGUGGGGAAUAUUGCACAAUGGGCGCAAGCCUGAUGCAGCGACGCCGCGUGCGGGAUGACGGCCUUCGGGUUGUAAACCGCUUUUGAUCGGGAGCAAGCCUUCGGGUGAGUGUACCUUUCGAAUAAGCACCGGCUAACUACGUGCCAGCAGCCGCGGUAAUACGUAGGGUGCAAGCGUUAUCCGGAAUUAUUGGGCGUAAAGGGCUCGUAGGCGGUUCGUCGCGUCCGGUGUGAAAGUCCAUCGCUUAACGGUGGAUCCGCGCCGGGUACGGGCGGGCUUGAGUGCGGUAGGGGAGACUGGAAUUCCCGGUGUAACGGUGGAAUGUGUAAAUAUCGGGAA
RNAcentral lists this ribosomal RNA (555 nucleotides) under uncultured Bifidobacterium sp. RNAcentral describes it as "bacterial SSU rRNA". It matches the Rfam family "Bacterial small subunit ribosomal RNA", at positions 136 to 703 of the family's 1533-position model. The record is from RNAcentral. Lineage: Bacteria; Bacillati; Actinomycetota; Actinomycetes; Bifidobacteriales; Bifidobacteriaceae.